RNAcentral lists this ribosomal RNA (407 nucleotides) under uncultured bacterium. Its description in RNAcentral is "partial 16S ribosomal RNA". It matches the Rfam family "Bacterial small subunit ribosomal RNA", at positions 30 to 526 of the family's 1533-position model. The record is from RNAcentral.
AUUGAACGCUGGCGGCAGGCCUAACACAUGCAAGUCGAGCGGAGCGGCGGACGGGUGAGUAAUGCCUAGGAAUCUGCCUGGUAGUGGGGGAUAACUACUGGAAACGGUGGCUAAUACCGCAUACUAUCGGAUGAACCCAUAUGGGAUUAGCUAGUAGGUGGGGUAAAGGCUCACCUAGGCGACGAUCUCUAGCUGGUCUGAGAGGAUGAUCAGCCACAUUGGAACUGAGACACGGUCCAAACUCCUACGGGAGGCAGCAGUGAGGAAUAUUGGGCAAUGGACGGAAGUCUGAACCAGCCAAGUAGCGUGCAGGAUGACGGCCUAUGGGUUGUAAACUGCUUUUGUAUGGGGAUAGGUACCAUAUGAAUAAGGACCGGCUAAUUCCGUGCCAGCAGCCGCGGUAAUAC